Molecule: long non-coding RNA, 1055 nt
Organism: Topomyia yanbarensis
Lineage: Eukaryota; Metazoa; Arthropoda; Insecta; Diptera; Culicidae
Exons: 4
Source: RefSeq, a predicted model, not a curated record
AAGAAAAGUGAGGUUAACUGUAGGUUUGUUCCAGUACAAGGAGAAACCGGGAAGUACUCCGGAGCAAACAGGGAGAAAAACGUUCCUGUAUUAUCUUCUUCCCUUUUUCUUCUUUUGGUAGCAAACCGGAGUGAAAAGGAGCAAGAAUUUUUUGCUUCGGAGCAACAAGGAGUAACUUCCGUGUACUGGAACAAACCUUGUGUCUGUAAAGAACCUAAUACUUCUACAGAAGAAACGAGAGGCAGAUAGAAAAGAGUGCUAUCGAUGCAUAAAUAAAAGUCUGCGUGUACUUUCGACAAGUUUUGAUUCGAGCCAACAACAUCCAGCCGUGCAGGAGUGGUAUAUGAAGCUAAUUUUGUGGAUUUUGAACCGAGGACUUAACUCACUCAACUGUUUUGAGCUCCUUCCGAUCGAAACCGGACCGCAAGCUUCGGAAGACCAAAAGAGAUGCGAAGGACAAAAAGUAAAUGAUAAGGAAGUGGAAAAAGGAGAGAAAACAGCGGAAACGACCGUACAAGUUCUGAUAGAGGGCAUCAGCCGCAAAUGCCGAGCAUUCUACUCGAACUCAUCCUAAAAUUUCAACGACAUGUAAACUAUUUAAAGGAGCGCUUAUGUUUGCAACUUUUUAUGGAAGCUCCCGAAGAACAAUGUAAGCAUUUACCCCAGAUAUCGGUCAGUACAGCGAUCCUGCAGAUAUCGGUCAGUACAGCGAUCCUACAUCUUCGGGAACGCGGUUACUAAAACGAGCUACAAACCAAGCUCAACAAGCGAGCCAUCGACAUUCUACGUGCAUCAGAUUGAGGAACACAACGAAUUGGAAGCAAAGUUUGUCGAAAAAUGUGGACAUGCUUCAGUUUCACUUCCAACCAAUACGGGUAUUUUAAAAUGCUGGAAAUCGAAAGUGACAGUGCUAGAUUGUUUUUAAGCUGUUAAAUUACUAUACGAACUUCAUCGAUUGAGAUGUUCUUUUGAGACUGAACGACCUGAGGACACUGCAAACUUUCUACACAAGGACUGUUUCUGGAAUGAGAAAGUAAUCCAAAUUAUUAUUUUAU